RNAcentral lists this ribosomal RNA (465 nucleotides) under uncultured Klebsiella sp. RNAcentral's name for it is "bacterial SSU rRNA". It matches the Rfam family "Bacterial small subunit ribosomal RNA", at positions 338 to 795 of the family's 1533-position model. The record is from RNAcentral. Lineage: Bacteria; Pseudomonadati; Pseudomonadota; Gammaproteobacteria; Enterobacterales; Enterobacteriaceae.
CCUACGGGGGGCAGCAGUGGGGAAUAUUGCACAAUGGGCGCAAGCCUGAUGCAGCCAUGCCGCGUGUGUGAAGAAGGCCUUCGGGUUGUAAAGCACUUUCAGCGGGGAGGAAGGCGUUAAGGUUAAUAACCUUGGCGAUUGACGUUACCCGCAGAAGAAGCACCGGCUAACUCCGUGCCAGUAGCCGCGGUAAUACGGAGGGUGCAAGCGUUAAUCGGAAUUACUGGGCGUAAAGCGCACGCAGGCGGUCUGUCAAGUCGGAUGUGAAAUCCCCGGGCUCAACCUGGGAACUGCAUUCGAAACUGGCAGGCUAGAGUCUUGUAGAGGGGGGUAGAAUUCCAGGUGUAGCGGUGAAAUGCGUAGAGAUCUGGAGGAAUACCGGAGGCGAAGGCGGCCCCCUGGACAAAGACUGACGCUCAGGUGCGAAAGCGUGGGGAGCAAACAGGAUUAGAUACCCCUGUAGUC